UAUUAAAAAAUUUAUCCAUUUGUAUUGUUAAAAAUCGGUGUGACUGAUGGAAUAACCAUAUAGUGACAUAUGGUGUACCACAUGUACCUGAUGUUGAUAUACAAAGGCUACUUUUUAACAAUAGAAAUUGAUGAAAUUUUUAAUA
Non-coding RNA from Gossypium raimondii (Peruvian cotton), 145 nucleotides. The record is from Rfam. Lineage: Eukaryota; Viridiplantae; Streptophyta; Magnoliopsida; Malvales; Malvaceae.